GAUGAACGCUGGCGGCGUGCCUAAUACAUGCAAGUCGAACGAAACUUCUUUAUCACCGAGUGCUUGCACUCACCGAUAAAGGGUUGAGUGGCGAACGGGUCAGUAACACGUGGUCAACCUGCCCAAAAGAGGGGGAUAACACUUGGAAACCGGUGCUAAUACCGCAUAACCAUAGUUACCGCAUCGGACCUUGGUCAAAGGUACCAGUCCUACUCCUUUUGGAUGGUCCCGGGGGGGAUUAGCUAGUUGGGAGGGUAAAGGCUUACCAAGGCGACGGUUCGUAGCCGAAUUGAGAGGUUGAUCGGCCACAUUGGAACUGAGACACGGUCCAAACUCCUACGGGAGGCAGCAGUGGGGAAUAUUCGACAAUGGGCGAAAGCCUGAUGGAGCAACACCGCGUGGGUGAAGAAGGUCUUCGGAUCGUAAAACCCUGUUGUUGGGGAAGAAAGGCCGGGAGAUAAACUGUUCCCGUUUUGACGGUACCUAAACAAAAAGCCCCGGCUAACUACGUG
Molecule: ribosomal RNA, 512 nt
Filed under: uncultured bacterium
Lineage: Bacteria
Description: partial 16S ribosomal RNA
Rfam family: Bacterial small subunit ribosomal RNA
Source: RNAcentral